RNAcentral lists this ribosomal RNA (520 nucleotides) under uncultured bacterium. RNAcentral's name for it is "bacterial SSU rRNA". It matches the Rfam family "Bacterial small subunit ribosomal RNA", at positions 28 to 586 of the family's 1533-position model. The record is from RNAcentral.
AACGAACGCUGGCGGCACGCCUAACACAUGCAAGUCGAACGAGAAGCACCUUCGGGUGUGGAAAGUGGCGGACGGGUGAGUAACACGUGGGAACAUGCCUUUUGGUACGGAACAACCAUUGGAAACGAUGGCUAAUACCGUAUAAGCCCUUAGGGGGAAAGAUUUAUCGCCGAAAGAUUGGCCCGCGCUAGAUUAGUUAGUUGGUGAGGUAAAAGCUCACCAAGGCGACGAUCUAUAGCUGGUUUGAGAGGAUGAUCAGCCACACUGGGACUGAGACACGGCCCAGACUCCUACGGGAGGCAGCAGUGGGGAAUAUUGGACAAUGGGGGCAACCCUGAUCCAGCGAUGCCGCGUGAGUGAUGAAGGCCUUAGGGUUGUAAAACUCUUUCAGGGGUGAAGAUAAUGACGGUAACCCCAGAAGAAGCUCCGGCUAACUCCGUGCCAGCAGCCGCGGUAAUACGGAGGGAGCUAGCGUUGUUCGGAAUUACUGGGCGUAAAGCGCGCGUAGGCGGCUUGGCAA